GAGGAGAAGAAAACAAAAGUGAUUCCGAUAGUAGCGGCGAGCGAAAUUGGAUUAGCCCAAACCAGUAUUGUUACGGCAAUGCUGGGGUUGUAGGACCACGAUAUUCGAGUCAAGAUGAAUUAGAACAGUUUGGAAAGACUGACCAAAGAGGGUGAUAGUCCCGUAUAAGUAAAGAAUGAUAAGAUAGUGGUAUCCUGAGUAGUGCGGGACACGAGUAAUCCUGUAUGAAUCCACCGGGACCAUCCGGUAAGGCUAAAUACUCCUGAGAGACCGAUAGUGAACAAGUACCGUGAGGGAAAGGUGAAAAGCACCCCGAUGAGGG
RNAcentral lists this ribosomal RNA (322 nucleotides) under Oxyrrhis marina. Its description in RNAcentral is "partial Bacterial large subunit ribosomal RNA". It matches the Rfam family "Bacterial large subunit ribosomal RNA", at positions 213 to 535 of the family's 2925-position model. The record is from RNAcentral. Lineage: Eukaryota; Dinophyceae; Oxyrrhinales; Oxyrrhinaceae.